UACGAAGGGGGCGAGCGUUGUUCGGAAUUACUGGGCGUAAAGGGCGCGUAGGCGGCGAACCAAGUCAGAUGUGAAAGUCCUGGGCUUAACCUGGGGACUGCAUUUGAUACUGGUUUGCUUGAAUUCGGGAGAGGAUAGCGGAAUUCCCAGUGUAGAGGUGAAAUUCGUAGAUAUUGGGAAGAACACCGGUGGCGAAGGCGGCUAUCUGGACCGACAUUGACGCUGAGGCGCGAAAGCGUGGGGAGCAAACAGGG
RNAcentral lists this ribosomal RNA (254 nucleotides) under uncultured bacterium. Its description in RNAcentral is "partial 16S ribosomal RNA". It matches the Rfam family "Bacterial small subunit ribosomal RNA", at positions 524 to 777 of the family's 1533-position model. The record is from RNAcentral.